GGUGGGGUUCCCGAGUGGCUAAAGGGAUCAGACUGUAAAUCUGACGCGCAAGCUUCGGUGGUUCGAAUCCACCCCCCACCA
Molecule: transfer RNA, 81 nt
Organism: Oceanicoccus sagamiensis
Lineage: Bacteria; Pseudomonadati; Pseudomonadota; Gammaproteobacteria; Cellvibrionales; Spongiibacteraceae
Rfam family: tRNA
About the family: Transfer RNA (tRNA) molecules are approximately 80 nucleotides in length. Their secondary structure includes four short double-helical elements and three loops (D, anti-codon, and T loops). Further hydrogen bonds mediate the characteristic L-shaped molecular structure. tRNAs have two regions of fundamental functional importance: the anti-codon, which is responsible for specific mRNA codon recognition, and the 3' end, to which the tRNAs corresponding amino acid is attached (by aminoacyl-tRNA synthetases). tRNAs cope with the degeneracy of the genetic code in two manners: having more than one tRNA (with a specific anti-codon) for a particular amino acid; and 'wobble' base-pairing, i.e. permitting non-standard base-pairing at the 3rd anti-codon position.
Source: Rfam